UACGUAGGGUGCGAGCGUUAAUCGGAAUUACUGGGCGUAAAGCGUGCGUAGGCGGUUCGUUGUGUCUGUGGUGAAAGCCCCGGGCUUAACCUGGGAAUGGCCAUGGAAACUGGCGAGCUGGAGUGUGGCAGAGGAGGGUGGAAUUCCGCGUGUAGCAGUGAAAUGCGUAGAGAUGCGGAGGAACACCGAUGGCGAAGGCAGCCCUCUGGGCUAACACUGACGCUGAGGCGCGAAAGCUAGGGGAGCAAACAGG
RNAcentral lists this ribosomal RNA (253 nucleotides) under uncultured bacterium. Its description in RNAcentral is "partial 16S ribosomal RNA". It matches the Rfam family "Bacterial small subunit ribosomal RNA", at positions 524 to 776 of the family's 1533-position model. The record is from RNAcentral.